This 400-nucleotide ribosomal RNA is filed under the name uncultured bacterium. RNAcentral's name for it is "bacterial SSU rRNA". It matches the Rfam family "Bacterial small subunit ribosomal RNA", at positions 975 to 1375 of the family's 1533-position model. The record is from RNAcentral.
CCACCUUUGACAUGUACGGAAUUCGCCAGAGAUGGCUUAGUGCUCGAAAGAGAACCGUAACACAGGUGCUGCAUGGCUGUCGUCAGCUCGUGUCGUGAGAUGUUGGGUUAAGUCCCGCAACGAGCGCAACCCUUGUCAUUAGUUGCUACAUUCAGUUGGGCACUCUAAUGAGACUGCCGGUGACAAACCGGAGGAAGGUGGGGAUGACGUCAAGUCCUCAUGGCCCUUAUAGGUGGGGCUACACACGUCAUACAAUGGCUGGUACAAAGGGUUGCCAACCCGCGAGGGGGAGCUAAUCCCACAAAACCGAUCGUAGUCCGGAUCGCAGUCUGCAACUCGACUGCGUGAAGUCGGAAUCGCUAGUAAUCGCGAAUCAGAAUGUCGCGGUGAAUACGUUCCC